RNAcentral lists this ribosomal RNA (1324 nucleotides) under uncultured organism. RNAcentral's name for it is "bacterial SSU rRNA". It matches the Rfam family "Bacterial small subunit ribosomal RNA", at positions 195 to 1490 of the family's 1533-position model. The record is from RNAcentral.
UGCUUGAUAAAGGUGGCCUCUGAUUAAGCUAUCGCUUAGAGAUGAGCCUGCGUCCUAUUAGCUAGUUGGUAAGGUAAGAGCUUACCAAGGCGAUGAUAGGUAGGCGGCCUUAACGGGUGGUCGCCCACACUGGGAUUGAGAUACGGCCCAGACUCCUACGGGAGGCAGCAGUCGAGAAUAGUCUACAAUGGGGGAAACCCUGAUAGUGCGACGCCGCGUGAACGAUGAAACCUUUCGGGGCGUAAAGUUCUUUUCUGUGUGAGCAAGCUAUGUAAGAUGAAUAUUUUUAUGUAGAAGAUAUUAGCACAGGAAUAAGCCACGGCUAACUCCGUGCCAGCAGCCGCGGUAACACGGGGGUGGCGAGCGUUGUCCGGAAUCACUAGGCGUAAAGGGCAAGUAGGCGGAAUUAUCAGUCAGGUGUUAAAGGCAUGGGCUUAACCGAUGUAUAGCAUUUGAUACUGUAAUUCUAGAGUGAAGUAGAGGAAGACGGAAUUCCAGGUGUAGCGGUGGAAUGCGCAGAUAUCUGGAAGAACACCGAUGGCGAAGGCAGUCUUCUGGGCUUCAACUGACGCUCAAUUGCGAAGGUGUGGGUAUCGAACAGGAUUAGGUACCCUGGUAGUCCACACAGUAACCGAUAAACACUAGGUGUUGGUGUCGUUAGAAAGACAUCAGUGCCGUAGCAAACGCGCUAAGUGUUUCGCCUGGGGAGUACGAUCGCAAGGUUGAAACUCAAAGGAGUUGACGGGGCCCCGCACAAGCGGUGGAGCAUGUGGUUUAAUUCGAUGCAACGCGAAGAACCUUACCUGGGCUUGACAUCCCGCGAAUCAUUCAGAGAUGAGUGAGUGCCCUUUCGGGGGAACGCGGAGACAGGUGCUGCAUGGCUGUCGUCAGCUCGUGUCGUGAGAUGUUGGGUUAAGUCCCGCAACGAGCGCAACCCCUAUCUUUAGUUACUACCAUUAAGUUGAGGACUCUAAAGAGACUGCCAGUGUAAUAAACUGGAGGAAGGUGGGGACGACGUCAAGUCAUCAUGGUCCUUAUGUCCAGGGCUACACACGUGCUACAAUGGUCGGAACAGAGGGAAGCGAGACAGUGACGUUAAGCGGAACCCAGAAAACCGAUCACAGUUCGGAUUGGAGUCUGCAACUCGACUCCAUGAAGUUGGAGUCGCUAGUAAUCGCGUAUCAGCAUGACGCGGUGAAUACGUUCCCGGGGCUUGUACACACCGCCCGUCAAGUCAGCCGAGUUGAUUGCACCCNGAAGAAGGUAAGCUAACUGCAAAGAGGCAGCUUUCGAAGGUGUGAUUAGCAAGGGGGACUAAGUCGUA